This 388-nucleotide long non-coding RNA is filed under the name Chrysemys picta bellii (western painted turtle). RNAcentral's name for it is "lncRNA (ENSCPBG00000004988.1)". The record is from RNAcentral. Lineage: Eukaryota; Metazoa; Chordata; Testudines; Emydidae.
CGGCACUUGCGCCAGGUGCCUGAGACACUGCAGGGGCUGUGCCUCUGAGGCCUUCAGCAACUCCUGCUCCCUGCUGCAGCAGGACGGCGUCACGGCCAAAGUGAGGCACCAGCUCCGCAUCAUCCAUCACUUGCGCCAGGUGCCUGAGACACUGCAGGGGUUGUGCCUCUGAGGCCUUCAGCAACUCCCGCUCUCUGUUGCAGCAGGAGGACAUCACGGCCAAAGUGAUGCACCAGCAGCGCAUCAUUGCGCACUUGCGCCAGGUGCCUGAGACACUGCAGGGGCUGUGCCUCUGAGGCCAUCAGCAACUCCCGCUCCCUGCUGCAGGUACUGCUCUGGCUCACUGUAAAUGGGGAGCUAGUGGAAGGGGAAAUUGAGACCCCUGGCA